AAUUCUCAAUCACUACAAUCUUGUGUUGUUUAGUGAAUUGGAGGUGGGGGUUUUGUGGGUCUAUCUAUUAGAUCUGCUCCCCUAAAAAUUAUUAGCUGGAAUGCCUUUGCAAGUCCAACUAUCAGUAUGAUAAUUAUCUACUCUGAUGUUGUUGUAAAAGGGUAUCUGCUUUCAAACCGUCGUUCAGACAUUUUGAAUCA
This 200-nucleotide unclassified non-coding RNA is filed under the name Conocybe rickeniana. RNAcentral's name for it is "partial internal transcribed spacer 2". The record is from RNAcentral. Lineage: Eukaryota; Fungi; Basidiomycota; Agaricomycetes; Agaricales; Bolbitiaceae.